CUCCUGGUUCCGGGUACGGAAAAGGGUUCGAUUCUGGGUAGGAGCCUGAGAACGGCUACUACAUCUACGGAAGGCAGCAGGCGCGUAAUUACCCACCCUUCUAUCCCCGGGAGGUGGUGACAAGAUAUAACAACAACGAUGCAAAUCGUGAUUGUAGUGAGGGUAUUCUAAACCGAACCACUAGUACGAUUAGAGGGCAAGUCUGGUGCCAGCAGCCGCGGUAAUUCCAGCUCUAAUAGCGUAUAUUAAAGUUGCUGCAGUUAAAAGCUCGUAGUUGGAUUUCAAGGACAGCUUUACCUCUCUCGGGAAUAUGCUUCCUACUAGUCUUCGGACUGUUACUGUGAGAAAAUUAGAGUGUUUAAAGCAGGCUUUUGCAAGAAUACAUUAGCAUGGAAUACGAAUGUGUUUAGAAUCUUGGUAAUCAAGACGAAAAGAAGAGAAAGACGGGGGCAUAGAUUAUUGCCGAGGGAAUUCUUGGAUUUGUCCAUUUCCUAUCGUAUGCGAAGCAUUUGCAGGAUGUUUUCAUCAAUCACCACCGCACCACUACGGGGAUCAAAAACAUCAGAUACUGUUGUAGUCCCAUCUAUAACCUAUGCGACUAGGAUUGACUGAGACUUACCAUUCAGUACUUAUGGAAAUCAGUCUUUGGGUCUGGGGGGGUAUGUCCAAGCUGAACCUAAGAAUUGACGAGACACCAGAUGACCUGGGCUAUCUGACCACGGACUAAGUCGACUAUAGGAUGCAGAUUGAAG
This 752-nucleotide ribosomal RNA is filed under the name uncultured rumen protozoa. RNAcentral describes it as "bacterial SSU rRNA". It matches the Rfam family "Eukaryotic small subunit ribosomal RNA", at positions 346 to 1245 of the family's 1831-position model. The record is from RNAcentral.